Molecule: transfer RNA, 85 nt
Filed under: Hyphomonadaceae bacterium
Lineage: Bacteria; Pseudomonadati; Pseudomonadota; Alphaproteobacteria; Hyphomonadales; Hyphomonadaceae
Description: tRNA-Leu
Rfam family: tRNA
About the family: Transfer RNA (tRNA) molecules are approximately 80 nucleotides in length. Their secondary structure includes four short double-helical elements and three loops (D, anti-codon, and T loops).
Source: RNAcentral
GCGGAUGUGGCGAAACUGGUAGACGCGCUGGAUUUAGGUUCCAGUGGGGCAACCCGUGUAGGUUCAAGUCCUAUCAUCCGCACCA